This 301-nucleotide ribosomal RNA is filed under the name uncultured bacterium. Its description in RNAcentral is "partial 16S ribosomal RNA". It matches the Rfam family "Bacterial small subunit ribosomal RNA", at positions 509 to 807 of the family's 1533-position model. The record is from RNAcentral.
CAGUAGCCGCGGUAAUACGUAGGGUGCGAGCGUUAAUCGGAAUUACUGGGCGUAAAGCGUGCGCAGGCGGUUGUGUAAGACAGGUGUGAAAUCCCCGGGCUUAACCUGGGAACUGCGCGUGUGACUGCACAGCUAGAGUAUGGCAGAGGGGGGUGGAAUUCCACGUGUAGCGGUGAAAUGCGUAGAGGUGUGGAGGAACACCGAUGGCGAAGGCAGCCCCCUGGGCCAAUACUGACGCUCAUGCACGAAAGCGUGGGGAGCAAACAGGAUUAGAGACCCCAGUAGUCCCUGUCUCUUAUAC